Molecule: long non-coding RNA, 459 nt
Organism: Uranotaenia lowii
Lineage: Eukaryota; Metazoa; Arthropoda; Insecta; Diptera; Culicidae
Exons: 2
Source: RefSeq, a predicted model, not a curated record
UGCAGAGAUUCUUCAGUGCGCGCCAUUUUGGCAAAAAAUCGUUUUCGCGGUCAAUUUUUUGUGGUGCGCAUCGAAAUAUUUUGGAUGCGAUGCUACUGUUCCACAGCUCCGGAAGGCAGGCUCUUAUUAACAAAGCGUCCGGUUGUUUUCCCCCCAUCGGCGAAGACGGUACGGGAAAAUCAUUGGCAGCCGUCGGAAAUGUGCUGAGUCCUUCAAAAUGGGCCGAUGUGAAAUCGGGGAAAAUGCCAUCGGGAAGACCUUGUCGGAACCAGAGAGUCAGGUUCCAGAAUAGCUCAGCUAGUGGCCAACGGGAAGAAACCAGUCUCCUAUCGGAAGUUCCACACUAGAAACGGUCGGCGGUGAUACAGUAAAGUGCAUGGUGCUGGUUAUCAAAAUGUGAAAAAUGAGUGAUCAAAUAUGAUGAAUGAAUGAAUAAAAUUUUAUUGCAAACCUUGAAAA